UACGAAGGGGGCUAGCGUUGCUCGGAAUUACUGGGCGUAAAGCGCACGUAGGCGGGUUCUUAAGUCGGUGGUGAAAUCCUGGAGCUCAACUCCAGAACUGCCUUCGAUACUGGGAAUCUUGAGUCCGGGAGAGGUGAGUGGAACUGCGAGCGUAGAGGUGAAAUUCGUAGAUAUUCGCAAGAACACCAGUGGCGAAGGCGGCUCACUGGCCCGGUACUGACGCUGAGGUGCGAAAGCGUGGGGAGCAAACAGG
Molecule: ribosomal RNA, 253 nt
Filed under: uncultured bacterium
Lineage: Bacteria
Description: partial 16S ribosomal RNA
Rfam family: Bacterial small subunit ribosomal RNA
Source: RNAcentral